AUUGAACGCUGGCGGCGGGCCAACACAUGCAAGUCGAGCGAGUGGCGGACGUUUGAGUAGUAUAUCGGAACGUGCCCAGUGGCGGGGGCUAACUACUCGAAAGAGUGCUAUACCGCAUACUCUUGGAGCGGCAGAUAUCGGAUUUGCUAGUUGGUGGGGUAAAGGCUCACCAAGGCAAAGGUCCGUAGCUGGUUUGAGAGGACGACCAGCCAGAAGUGGACGGAGACACGGCCCAGAUUCCAACGGGAGGCAGCCGUGGGGAAUUUGGGACAAUGGGGGAGAGACUGAUCGAGCCAUCCCGCGUGUAUGAAGAAGGCCUAGGGUUGUAAAGUAAUUUCAGUCGGGAUGCGUUACCGGCAGAAGAAGCACCGGCUAACUCCGUGCCAGCAGCCGCGGUAAUAC
RNAcentral lists this ribosomal RNA (402 nucleotides) under uncultured bacterium. Its description in RNAcentral is "partial 16S ribosomal RNA". It matches the Rfam family "Bacterial small subunit ribosomal RNA", at positions 30 to 526 of the family's 1533-position model. The record is from RNAcentral.